Molecule: ribosomal RNA, 253 nt
Filed under: uncultured bacterium
Lineage: Bacteria
Description: partial 16S ribosomal RNA
Rfam family: Bacterial small subunit ribosomal RNA
Source: RNAcentral
UACGUAGGGGGCUAGCGUUGUCCGGAAUCAUUGGGCGUAAAGGGCGUGUAGGCGGCCCGGUAAGUCCGCUGUGAAAGUCGGGGGCUCAACCCUCGAAUGCCGGUGGAUACUGUCGGGCUAGAGUGCGGAAGAGGCGAGUGGAAUUCCUGGUGUAGCGGUGAAAUGCGCAGAUAUCAGGAGGAACACCGAUUGCGAAGGCAGCUCGCUGGGACGUCACUGACGCUGAGACGCGAAAGCGUGGGGAGCAAACAGG